This 1675-nucleotide ribosomal RNA is filed under the name Lactobacillus delbrueckii subsp. bulgaricus. Its description in RNAcentral is "partial 23S ribosomal RNA". It matches the Rfam family "Bacterial large subunit ribosomal RNA", at positions 1216 to 2896 of the family's 2925-position model. Lineage: Bacteria; Bacillati; Bacillota; Bacilli; Lactobacillales; Lactobacillaceae. The record is from RNAcentral.
UUUAUGCACGUGGUAGGAGAGCGUUCUAGCGGCGGUGAAGCAUGACCGAGAGGACAUGUGGAGCUUCUAGAAGUGAGAAUGCCGGUAUGAGUAACGAAAGACAGGUGAGAAUCCUGUCCGCCGCAAGACUAAGGUUUCCUGGGGCAGGCUCGUCCGCCCAGGGUAAGUCGGGACCUAAGGCGAGGCCGAGAGGCGUAGUCGAUGGACAACAGGUUGAAAUUCCUGUACUGCACCGAAUCGUUAUGAGCGAUGGAGGGACGCAGGAGGCUAGCAGCGCGUGGUGCUGGAUACCACGUUCAAGCGUCAAGUCUGAGAGCGAGUCAAAUGCUUGCUCUCAUAAGGACAAGGCGUGAUGAGGAGCGAAAUUAAAGUAGCGAAGGCUGCGACGUCACACUGCCGAGAAAAGCUUCUAGCCAGAGACGGUGCACCCGUACCGCAAACCGACACAGGUAGUCGAGGAGAGUAUCCUCAGGUGAGCGAGAGAACUCUCGUUAAGGAACUCGGCAAAAUGGCCCCGUAACUUCGGGAGAAGGGGCGCUGGUCGCAAGAUCAGCCGCAGUGAAAAGGCCCAAGCAACUGUUUAUCAAAAACACAGGCAUCUGCAAAAUCGUAAGAUGAAGUAUAGGUGCUGACACCUGCCCGGUGCUGGAAGGUUAAGAGGAGAGCUUAGCGCAAGCGAAGGUUUGAAUUGAAGCCCCAGUAAACGGCGGCCGUAACUAUAACGGUCCUAAGGUAGCGAAAUUCCUUGUCGGGUAAGUUCCGACCUGCACGAAAGGUGUAAUGAUUUGGGCACUGUCUCAACGAGAGACUCGGUGAAAUUAUAAUACCCGUGAAGAUGCGGGUUACCCGCGACAGGACGGAAAGACCCCAUGGAGCUUUACUGCAGUUUAAUAUUGGGUAUCUGUCAAGCAUGUACAGGAUAGGUAGGAGCCGGAGAAGAUAGGACGCCAGUCUUAUCAGAGGCGCUGUUGGGAUACUACCCUUGCUUGACGGAUGCUCUAACUCAGGCCUGUGAUCCAGGCCGAGGACAGUGUUUGACGGGCAGUUUGACUGGGGCGGUCGCCUCCUAAAGUGUAACGGAGGCGCCCAAAGGUUCCCUCAGAAUGGUUGGAAAUCAUUCGCAGAGUGUAAAGGUAAAAGGGAGCUUGACUGCGAGAGAGACAACUCGAGCAGGUACGAAAGUAGGGCUUAGUGAUCUGGUGGUACCGUAUGGAAGGGCCAUCACUCAACGGAUAAAAGCUACCCUGGGGAUAACAGGCUUAUCUCCCCCAAGAGUUCACAUCGACGGGGAGGUUUGGCACCUCGAUGUCGGCUCGUCGCAUCCUGGGGCUGAAGUCGGUCCCAAGGGUUGGGCUGUUCGCCCAUUAAAGCGGCACGCGAGCUGGGUUCAGAACGUCGUGAGACAGUUCGGUCCCUAUCCGUCGUGGGCGUAGGAAAUUUGAGAGGAGCUGUCCUUAGUACGAGAGGACCGGGAUGGACGCACCGCUGGUGUACCAGUUGUCUUGCCAAAGGCAUCGCUGGGUAGCUAUGUGCGGACGGGAUAAGCGCUGAAAGCAUCUAAGUGCGAAGCCCCCCUCAAGAUGAGAUUUCCCAUUUCUUCAAGAAAGUAAGACACCUCAGAGACGAUGAGGUAGAUAGGCCGGGAGUGGAAGAGCCGUGAGGCUUGGAGCGGACC